CCUGGUGGCUCAGACGGUAAAGUGUCUGCCUACAAUGCAGGAAACCCGGGUUCAAUCCCUGGGUCAGGA
Molecule: transfer RNA, 69 nt
Filed under: Bos taurus (domestic cattle)
Lineage: Eukaryota; Metazoa; Chordata; Mammalia; Artiodactyla; Bovidae
Also listed under: 1 other name
Rfam family: tRNA
About the family: Transfer RNA (tRNA) molecules are approximately 80 nucleotides in length. Their secondary structure includes four short double-helical elements and three loops (D, anti-codon, and T loops).
Source: Rfam by way of RNAcentral